UGAGUACGAGAUGCUACGGCAUCGAAGCAGUCUAUGUCAUACUUCCAAGAAAAGCUUGCACUGCCAUAAACAAAGAAUGCCUGUACCAUAACCGACACAGGUGGGUAGGUAGAGUAUACUAAGGGGCGCGAGAUAACUCUCUCUAAGGAACUCGGCAAAAUGACUCCGUAACUUCGGGAGAAGGAGUGCCUUAUUUAUAAGGUUGCAAUAACAAGAUCCAAGCAACUGUUUAUCAAAAACACAGGUCUCCGCUAAGUCGUAAGACGAUGUAUGGGGGCUGACGCCUGCCCAGUGCCAGAAGGUUAAAGAAGUUGGUUAGUGUAUGCGAAGCUGAUGACUGAAGCCCUGGUGAACGGCGGCCGUAACUAUAACGGUCCUAAGGUAGCGAAAUUCCUUGUCGGGUAAGUUCCGACCCGCACGAAAGGCGUAAUGAUUUGGAUACUGUCUCGGAGAGAGGCUCGGUGAAAUAGACUUGUCUGUGAAGAUGCGGACUACCUGCACCAGGACAGAAAGACCCUAUGAAGCUUUACUGUAACUUGAAAUUGGAAUUGGACUUUGCUUGCGCAGUAUAGGUGGGAAGCGUUGAAGAUAUUCUUGCGGGAGUAUUGGAGCUAUCAGUGAGAUACCACUCUUGUAAUGUUAGAUUUCUAACUUUGAACCAUAAUCUGGUCAAAGAACAGUUUCAGGUGGGCAGUUUGACUGGGGCGGUCGCCUCCCAAAUGGUAACGGAGGCGUACAAAGGUUUCCUCUGAACGGAUAGAAAUCGUAUCUAGAGUGUAAAGGCAUAAGGAAGCUUGACUGUGAGACCUACAAGUCGAGCAGGGACGAAAGUCGGUCUUAGUGAUCUGACGGUACUGAGUGGAAAGGCCGUCACUCAACGGAUAAAAGUUACUCUAGGAUAACAGGCUGAUCUCCCCCAAGAGUUCACAUCGACGGGGAGGUUUGGCACCUCGAUGUCGGCUCAUCGCAUCCUGGGGCGGUAGUACGUCCCAAGGGUUGGGCUGUUCGCCCAUGAAAGCGGUACGCGAGCUGGGUUCAGAACGUCGUGAGACAGUUCGGUCCAUAUCCGGUGUAGGCGUUAGAAUAUUGAGAGGAGCCUUCUUUAGUACGAGAGGACCGAGAAGGACACACCGCUGGUGUACCAGUUAUCGUGCCAACGGUAAACGCUGGGUAGCUAUGUGUGGAGUGGAUAACCGCUGAAAGCAUCUAAGUGGGAAGCCCACCUCAAGAUGAGUAUUCUCAC
RNAcentral lists this ribosomal RNA (1243 nucleotides) under metagenome. Its description in RNAcentral is "bacterial LSU rRNA". It matches the Rfam family "Bacterial large subunit ribosomal RNA", at positions 1564 to 2817 of the family's 2925-position model. The record is from RNAcentral.